ACUCCUACGGGAGGCAGCAGUGGGGAAUAUUGCACAAUGGGCGCAAGCCUGAUGCAGCCAUGCCGCGUGUAUGAAGAAGGCCUUCGGGUUGUAAAGUACUUUCAGCAGUGGAGGAAGGGUGGGUAUGUUAAUAGCAUACUCAUUUGACGUUAGCUGCAGAAGAAGCACCGGCUAACUCCGUGCCAGCAGCCGCGGUAAUACGGAGGGUGCGAGCGUUAAUCGGAAUUACUGGGCGUAAAGCGCAUGCAGGUGGUUUGUUAAGUCAGAUGUGAAAGCCC
This 278-nucleotide ribosomal RNA is filed under the name uncultured bacterium. RNAcentral describes it as "partial 16S ribosomal RNA". It matches the Rfam family "Bacterial small subunit ribosomal RNA", at positions 335 to 603 of the family's 1533-position model. The record is from RNAcentral.